UACGUAGGGGGCGAGCGUUGUCCGGAUUUAUUGGGCGUAAAGAGCGUGUAGGUGGCCAUGUAGGUCCGCUGUGAAAACUCGAGGCUCAACCUCGAGAUGUCGGUGGAAACCACAUGGCUAGAGUCCGGAAGAGGAGAGUGGAAUUCCUGGUGUAGCGGUGAAAUGCGCAGAUAUCAGGAAGAACACCAAUGGCGAAGGCAGCUCUCUGGGACGGUACUGACACUGAGACGCGAAAGCGUGGGGAGCGAACAGG
RNAcentral lists this ribosomal RNA (253 nucleotides) under uncultured bacterium. RNAcentral describes it as "partial 16S ribosomal RNA". It matches the Rfam family "Bacterial small subunit ribosomal RNA", at positions 524 to 776 of the family's 1533-position model. The record is from RNAcentral.